RNAcentral lists this ribosomal RNA (305 nucleotides) under uncultured fungus. RNAcentral's name for it is "eukaryotic LSU rRNA". The stretch from base 1 to 52 matches the Rfam family "5.8S ribosomal RNA", at positions 103 to 154 of the family's 154-position model. The record is from RNAcentral. Lineage: Eukaryota; Fungi.
AACGCAACUUGCGCCCUUUGGCAUUCCGAAGGGCACGCCUGUUUGAGUGUCGUAAAUUCCUCCAACCUAGCAGCUUUCAUUGGUUGUCAGGCUGGGAUUUUGAGGGUCUUUGCGGGUCUUUUUCAAGUUCCGCUCCCUUUGAAGAAAUUAGUGGAAGGCCUCUUGGGGCUCCGGUGUGAUAAGCUAUCUGCGCCGUCGCUUCGAGAACUUUAAAGGCUUGCCGCUGAAAACCGUCCUUGCACUUAUGGACAACUUUUCUUUUUGAACUUGACCUCAAAUCAGGCGGGACUACCCGCUGAACUUAA